Molecule: long non-coding RNA, 1387 nt
Organism: Ctenopharyngodon idella (grass carp)
Lineage: Eukaryota; Metazoa; Chordata; Actinopteri; Cypriniformes; Xenocyprididae
Exons: 8
Source: RefSeq, a predicted model, not a curated record
UUACGUGUAAUUGAUACACUUCUGUUGAAUAUUUACUUCAAAGAAAUUAUUUAGUGUCUUCGAAAAAAUCCGUUAGCAUCUCAACCGUUUUCAGAAGCGGUUGGCUAACUAACUCUGUAUUUUGAGCUCUUAUUUAAUGAAAGUUUGGGCUUUUAAUCGCAUCUUUAUGUAUAGAUGAGAUGUUAUAAUAGUUUUGUAGAGGUUUUGCUGGCAAAUUGUUAAUGGAUGAUAGUAAACUAAUUUAUUUAAUGUUAAAGUUGCUGUACCGUUAAUCGGUGACGUCACUUACACGGAGCGCGAAAAUUAACUGAAACUGUUUCAAACACGUUUUGAUCUCUAAUGGUAAACAAAUAUGGAUAAAAAAUGUUCUGCAAUUUCAGGGGCGACAGAAAAGCCCCUCUACAACAAAGGGGAAGCUGACAGAGAAGGAGGAAACACAGUUAAGAAGUCUUUGACAUCCAAACAUCCUUCCAUGCUGAUGGCCUCCUGCACUCCAGCAGAGCUGAGCGACCUCCUGUCAAAGGCUAUGAACCAGAUGACUAUAUUAUGUUUGCUAGUGAGACAGACACCAUACUGUUCCACUCAAAGAUGCUGACUGUGGUUCAGGGGGUCGACAACUUUAAGCAUAUGAGAUGCAAUCUCUAGCGUUUGGUGCUGAGAUUCUUCAGGACAAGGCCUUGAUGCCAUUCACACUCAGUACAUGAAGAUGAUUCACCAAACAUCUGGCUGAUUACUGGCAAUUUGCAGUAAAGACAGUGAACAAGUGAAGAGAGUGGAGGGGAUGGCAUCAGAAAGGACCUUGAGCUAGGACUGUCUUGGAUCACCCAAACCACAACUACUAUGUGUCCAAGCACUGAACAAGGCUUUUCUCCUUAAAUAUUAAAUGUAUUUAAUUUAAGGCAGGGUUUUAUUUUUCCUGCAUAGUGAAUUACUAGGUGGCUGCCUCUGUCAAAUCUGAUGCUGUCUCCAGCUAUUAACAAAACUCAGGCAGGCAGUCACAUGCUCCGAUACCCCUUUUCCACCAACACGGUUCUGUUGCAGGCUCCUGCCUGUGUCCAUUCUCAAACUGUUCUACGCACCUCCACUGCACAAAAGGCAGUUCCAGGUCAGAAAUAUCGGUACCCUCCCUCUUCAACAUCCUUCGCCAGUCAUCACAUUCACAACCACCACAGUCAACGCAAGUCAAGGUCCCUGGUCCACAGCAUCAACCAUCUUUUUAGGAAGAUGAAUACUGCAUUUCUUGAUUUAUCUUUAAAAUUUACAGUUUUCUUAUGGAGUGCAAUCCCUCUCUAGACGGACUGAGGUCUAUCGGUCUUACAAAAUACUGUCAGACACUGCAUAUGAUGUUCUCAAAAUAAAAUAAAAAAAUAAUUAAAAUAUUUAAGAA